This 573-nucleotide unclassified non-coding RNA is filed under the name Hevea brasiliensis (rubber tree). The record is from RNAcentral. Lineage: Eukaryota; Viridiplantae; Streptophyta; Magnoliopsida; Malpighiales; Euphorbiaceae.
CCACCUAGGACUUCUGUAACCACCACCUUGAGCACUUCUUUCUGUUUGCUUUCAACUGCUGGACCAUUAGAGACUUCCUUUCCUUCAACAUAAUUCUCCCAAAUUUUCAGUUCCUUCUUUUUCGCAGAUUGCUCAGACUGCUCAAGAAGAUGAGCAUCAGGGAUCCUGUCAAUGCCAAAGGAAGUUUGUAACUUCGCAAGGCCAGCUUCAAGAAGAACCACUGCUAUGUUAGUCCUUGACUCCCACAGGGAUCCCAAGAAAGUUCCAGUUCUAUCAACAGUUUCUACUUCAAUCUCAACUUCUCUCUGCAUUAUCCUACGUCUCAUUAGUGCAAUUGCUUCAUCUGAAUAUGGUUCAUCGCGACCAGGACACCUGACACCAGAGAAUGAAAAGGCAAUGCUGCAUGUUUCCUUGGGAAUCAAAAGCUUAAAACGGUGACCGCUAAGCACAUAUUCCACAACAGCAGAAAUUUUCCUAUUUCGGUGCAGGAAGGGCAAGAAAUCUCUAGCUUUCUUGGCUGAUGCCGUGGUAAGAUCUGUUAUAUGUGUAACUGGAGGUUCCUUGCUAGAAUGC